Non-coding RNA from Pelobates cultripes (western spadefoot toad), 559 nucleotides. Lineage: Eukaryota; Metazoa; Chordata; Amphibia; Anura; Pelobatidae. The record is from the annotation of a GenBank genome assembly.
CACACAGACAUCUCUGACAGCCAGACUCACUUAUCUGACACACUCAUUCAUUGACAGACACUCACACGCACACUGACAGACUCAUUGAAAAACACACACUGACACACACACACACAAACUCACAGACACCGACAGACACACGUACUCACAUGCACACAUGCACAUACUGACAGACACACAUACUCACACACACACUGACAGAACCACACACACACACAAACUCACAGACACACACACUCACACACACAUACUCACAUGCACACACACACUGACAGACACACAUACUCACACACACACACUGACAGACACACAUACUCACACACACACUGACAGACAUACUCACAUGCACACACACACACUGACAGACACACAUACUCACACACACACUGACAGACAUACUCACAUGCACACACACACACUGACAGACACACAUACUCACACACACACUGACAGACACACAUACUCACACACACACUGACAGACAUACUCACAUGCACACACACACACUGACAGACACAUACUCACACACACACUGACAGACAUACUCACAUGCACACAC